This 329-nucleotide ribosomal RNA is filed under the name uncultured eukaryote. RNAcentral describes it as "partial 18S ribosomal RNA". It matches the Rfam family "Eukaryotic small subunit ribosomal RNA", at positions 1470 to 1796 of the family's 1831-position model. The record is from RNAcentral.
CCCUUAGAUGUUCUGGGCCGCACGCGCGCUACACUGAUGCAUUCAACGAGUCUAAAACCUGCUCUGAUAGGGGUGGGUAAUCUUUUGAAUGUGCAUCGUGAUUGGGAUAGAUGAUUGCAAUUUUUCAUCUUCAACGAGGAAUGCCUAGUAAACGCAAGUCAUCAGCUUGCAUUGAUUACGUCCCUGCCCUUUGUACACACCGCCCGUCGCUCCUACCGAUUGAAUGAUCCGAUGAAUAUCAUGGAUUGAGGAUGUAAGCAGGUUCGCCUGUCUUCAUCUUCGAGAAGUGAAGUAAAUCUUAUCAUUUAGAGGAAGUAAAAGUCGUAACA